CAUACCUUUAAUCGCCGUACACGAUACGAUGACAGAUAUAGAUAAUUGCCAUGCACUGUUACGGAUAGAAUAGAGUGAGAAGUCGAAAAGAUAUACUGAAUUGAACCAUACUGUCGUUUUCUGAUUGUUCGCUAAAAUUGUUGCUCGGAAAGUAUAUUUUUUCAGUUAACAACUCCUAAGUUAAUACCACUUGAAUUUCAAAACCUAGAAUAGUUUUUUCUACAGAAUCUAUAGUGAAUUAUUAAGAUUCUAUAGUGGUUAUCAUGCCAGAAGAUCGUUCAUAGUUUCGUUCCUUUCGUUUCGAUACUUACGAGUUAUAACUAAGAACUAGAUUUGGCUAUACGACCCUAAUCGGUGUCAAUCGAUCGUUACGUAGAAAACCAAGGAAACGUACAAACGAAAAUUUUAAUCGUGUCCCGCAUAUUCGCGCCAUAAUAAACCGAUUGAAGAUUACGGAAAAGCGUUUCAUUCGUUGCAUGAGCAACAUUUUAAAAUUUUCGUUUUCCGUUUCGAUCGACGAUGCCCAGGCAAAAUCAGAUACCACGAGAAAGUAUGCUGCAGACGUGCUUGCUCUGCAAUCUUCCAGAUGACGACCAAAUGGUAUGCUGUGAUCGGUGUGACGAGUGGUUCCACUUCAACUGCGUCGGUGUCAACGAGGAUGUGGCCAAUCGUUCAUGGAGCUGCCCAGAAUGUCUGCUAAUGACGAACCCAGCUCCACAAUUGCCGCAAUCAUCGAUUCCCUCAGCAGGUGAGCCACCUAUACGUUCACCUCUGCCGUCACCACGAGUGCCAAGUUUGUCUUCUUAUCGAACGCCAACCCCACGCCCCCGAAACUCUGCAAUACAAGCUCCGCCGCCACUGCCAGUGUCCACCGAGAUUCCGCCAAGAUUACCGCCGGUGCCUUCCCCUCGUAUCCACACUCCUCGUCCACGAGCUCAAAGUACACAUAUAGCUGCUCCGUUAACGCUCCCAGAAUGUGCACAUCCUCCACGCAACUUACUUUCUCCCGUCAUCGAGGAUGGGGAAGCGAGGAACUUUUGCCAAGAUGUGUUGACAGAAGAGGAUCUUGUAAAUAGACUACCAUCAGACCUUCGGAUCCAGUUUUUGCAACAACAAGAAGCCAUUGAGCAGCGAUAUUUGCGGCGUAGGUUCCAGAUGUUGUUAGAGUCACCAAUGAACAUAAAUCAGUCCAAUGCGCCUCGUCCCAGUGUAAAUGCUUCAGCACCCGCAUAUCAUUCUUCGCCAGUGUGUGCCAAUCAAAUGCUUCCGUCGCCCACUCCAC
Long non-coding RNA from Armigeres subalbatus, 1282 nucleotides. RefSeq lists it as uncharacterized. The record is from RefSeq and is a predicted model, not a curated record. Lineage: Eukaryota; Metazoa; Arthropoda; Insecta; Diptera; Culicidae. The transcript is spliced from 4 exons.